This 427-nucleotide ribosomal RNA is filed under the name uncultured Acidobacterium sp. RNAcentral's name for it is "bacterial SSU rRNA". It matches the Rfam family "Bacterial small subunit ribosomal RNA", at positions 958 to 1385 of the family's 1533-position model. The record is from RNAcentral. Lineage: Bacteria; Pseudomonadati; Acidobacteriota; Terriglobia; Terriglobales; Acidobacteriaceae.
AACGCGAAGAACCUUACCUGGGCUCGAAGCGCAGUGGACCGGGGUAGAAAUAUCCCUUUUCGCAAGAACUGCUGCGGAGGUGCUGCAUGGCUGUCGUCAGCUCGUGUCGUGAGAUGUUGGGUUAAGUCCCGCAACGAGCGCAACCCUUAUCGUCUGUUACUAACGCGUCAUGGCGAGGACUCGGGCGAAACUGCCUGGGAUAACCAGGAGGAAGGUGGGGAUGACGUCAAGUCCUCAUGGCCUUUAUGUCCAGGGCUACACACGUGCUACAAUGGCCGGUACAAACCGUCGCAAACCCGUGAGGGGGAGCUAAUCGGAAAAAGCCGGCCUCAGUUCGGAUUGGAGUCUGCAACUCGACUCCAUGAAGCUGGAAUCGCUAGUAAUCGCGGAUCAGAACGCCGCGGUGAAUACGUUCCCGGGCCUUGUA